Molecule: long non-coding RNA, 934 nt
Filed under: Mus musculus (house mouse)
Lineage: Eukaryota; Metazoa; Chordata; Mammalia; Rodentia; Muridae
Description: long non-coding RNA chr9:118182682-118183616
Source: RNAcentral
CGAUUUCUGGCAUCCGCGCCUUUCUGUGUUUUCCCUACUAUGCUGGUGCCUGGAAGUCAGUCUUCCACUAGCAGCCUUUGGAUGAAGAUGUAGAACUCUCAGCUCUGCCUGUGCCACGCCUGUCUGGAUGCUGCCAUGCUUGAUGAUAAUGGACCUGUAAGCCAGCCCCAAUGAAAUGUUGUUUUUAUAAGACUUGCCUUGGUCAUGGUGUCUGUUCACAGCAGUAAAACCCUAACUAGGACAAUGUCUUACCAAAAUAAGUGUAUGCACAUGUGUAUAUUCGCCUUUAACAUCUAAAAACAACCAGCAUGCGCUGGCACGGCUCUGUAAACGGUAACUGUCGAGGAAUCCACCUCCUUGUAGAGCCGUAAGGGCUGACUCCAGCAGGAAACCAUCAGCGUCCAAGCUCGUAGGAAACCAAAGGUCACCUGACAAGUAUGUUUUCUGCUUUCACUCGAAAUCUGUUUUAAAUUUCUCAACCCAGAGGCUUCAAAAUCUACCUCCUUGCUUCCUUAGACCUAGCAGCCACAAAAAGGUGACGAAAUCUCCAUGGGACUGUGAGAGCCCUGUUGGGAAAAGCAAAGCCAUCCGGGCAUAGCAAGAUACCAGGACCCUGUCAUCUAACAGUAAGUCAUGCUCACUAACACAUCUUCAGCUUGAGGGCUGGGGAGAUGGCUUAGUGUUUAAUGUCCUUGCCAGAUGUGUGUGCAGUGUUGGGUGCCCAUAAAUGUUGUGGGUGGGCCUGGUGCUGUUUGUGUUUUGAUGCUAAUUUCGCUCUCCUGGGAGGGGUUGAGGACAAGAAGUAAAUCAGUACCCAGGUGACUUCUUGUGAACCAAACCCCAAUGAAUAAAGGAGCCAAUCACUGGGCAAGUAGGCGGGACUUCCAGGUUGGACAGAGAAAGAGAAGGAGGAGGAGAGGAUUAGAGACUUUUG